UCCGUAGGUGGAUAAUGAAGUCAGAGGUGAAAUCCUGCAGCUCAACUGUAGAAUUGCCUUUGAUACUGGUUAUCUUGAAUUAUUGUGAAGUGGUUAGAAUAUGUAGUGUAGCGGUGAAAUGCAUAGAUAUUACAUAGAAUACCAAUUGCGAAGGCAGAUCACUAACAAUAUAUUGACACUGAUGGACGAAAGCGUGGGGAGCGAACAGGAUUAGAUACCCUGGUAGUCC
RNAcentral lists this ribosomal RNA (229 nucleotides) under uncultured bacterium. RNAcentral's name for it is "partial 16S ribosomal RNA". It matches the Rfam family "Bacterial small subunit ribosomal RNA", at positions 568 to 796 of the family's 1533-position model. The record is from RNAcentral.